AUACGGAGGAUCCGAGCGUUAUCCGGAUUUAUUGGGUUUAAAGGGUGCGCAGGCGGCCAUUUAAGUCAGCGGUUAAAUCGUGGGGCUCAACCCCAUUCUGCCGUUGAUACUGGGUGGCUUGAUUGCGGUCGAGGUUGGCGGAAUUCGUUGUGUAGCGGUGAAAUGCAUAGAUAUGACGAAGAACACCGAUUGCGUAGGCAGCUGACCAGACCGCAAAUGACGCUCAUGCACGAAAGUGCGGGGAUCGAACAGGAUUAGAUACCCUGGUAGUCCGCACAGUAAACGAUGAAUACUUGUUUUCGGCGAUAUAAUGUCGGAGGCAAAGCGAAAGCGAUAAGUAUUCCACCUGGGGAGUACGCCGUCAACGGUGAAACUUAAAGGAAUUGACGGGG
This 392-nucleotide ribosomal RNA is filed under the name uncultured bacterium. RNAcentral's name for it is "partial 16S ribosomal RNA". It matches the Rfam family "Bacterial small subunit ribosomal RNA", at positions 523 to 918 of the family's 1533-position model. The record is from RNAcentral.